This 450-nucleotide ribosomal RNA is filed under the name uncultured bacterium. RNAcentral describes it as "bacterial SSU rRNA". It matches the Rfam family "Bacterial small subunit ribosomal RNA", at positions 355 to 825 of the family's 1533-position model. The record is from RNAcentral.
UCAAGAAACUUCCACAAUGGGCGAAAGCCUGAUGGAGCGACGUCGCGUGAUGGACGAAGUGCUUCGGCACGUAAACAUCUUUUAUGUGGGAUGAAAUUAUUGACAGUACCACAUGAAUAAGGGGCUCCUAACUCUGUGCCAGCAGGAGCGGUAAUACAGAGGCCCCAAGCGUUAUCCGGAAUCACUGGGCGUAAAGGGUGUCGAGGCGGUUGUAUUAGUCGUUCGUAAAAUCUACGAGCUUAACUUGUAGGCGGCGAACGAAACGGUACGACUUGAGGUUUGGAGAGGUGCGUGGAACUCACGGUGUAGGGGUGAAAUCCGUUGAUAUCGUGGGGAACACCAAAGGCGAAGGCAGCGCACUGGCCAAAAUCUGACGCUCACACAAGAAAGCUAGGGUAGCGAAGAGGAUUAGAUACCCCGGUAGUCCCUGAGCGGGCUGGCAAGGCGCAU